UACGUAGGGGGCGAGCGUUAUCCGGAUUCACUGGGUGUAAAGGGAGCGUAGACGGCCAUGCAAGCCAGGGGUGAAAGCCCGGGGCCCAACCCCGGGACUGCCCUUGGAACUGCAUGGCUGGAGUGCGGGAGGGGCAGGCGGAAUUCCUGGUGUAGCGGUGAAAUGCGUAGAUAUCGAGAGGAACACUCGUGGCGAAGGCGGGUUCCUGGACAUUAACUGACGCUGAGGCACGAAGGCCAGGGGAGCGAAAGGG
This 253-nucleotide ribosomal RNA is filed under the name uncultured Eubacteriales bacterium. Its description in RNAcentral is "uncultured Clostridiales bacterium partial 16S ribosomal RNA". It matches the Rfam family "Bacterial small subunit ribosomal RNA", at positions 524 to 776 of the family's 1533-position model. The record is from RNAcentral. Lineage: Bacteria; Bacillati; Bacillota; Clostridia; Eubacteriales.